AACGAACGCUGGCGGCAUGCCUAACACAUGCAAGUCGAACGAAGCCUUCGGGCUUAGUGGCGCACGGGUGCGUAACGCGUGGGAAUCUGCCCUUGGGUUCGGAAUAACAGUUAGAAAUGACUGCUAAUACCGAAUGAUGUCUUCGGACCAAAGAUUUAUCGCCCAAGGAUGAGCCCGCGUCGGAUUAGCUGGUUGGUGAGGUAAAGGCUCACCAAGGCGACGAUCCAUAGCUGGUCUGAGAGGAUGAUCAGCCACACUGGGACUGAGACACGGCCCAGACUCCUACGGGAGGCAGCAGUGGGGAAUAUUGGACAAUGGGCGAAAGCCUGAUCCAGCAAUGCCGCGUGAGUGAUGAAGGCCUUAGGGUUGUAAAGCUCUUUUACUGGGGAUGAUAAUGACAGUACCCAGAGAAUAAGCUCCGGCUAACUCCGUGCCAGCAGCCGCGGUAAU
RNAcentral lists this ribosomal RNA (450 nucleotides) under uncultured bacterium. RNAcentral describes it as "bacterial SSU rRNA". It matches the Rfam family "Bacterial small subunit ribosomal RNA", at positions 29 to 524 of the family's 1533-position model. The record is from RNAcentral.